ACAAAAGCGACGAAUGGAAUAAGUAGCGAGCAUGUCCCUAUUAAAGAGAGCUAGUGGCUGGUGGGAACUAGUAUAAACAUGAACGUGAAUUACCUCCAUGAGCAAUGAUUCUGAACCUUUUAUAUUAGGAAUCAUCGGUUAAUUCCGUUAUCUUAGUAAAGAUGAGAAUAGAUCACUAUUCUUAAGCUUGGGUGGUACCGCGUCUUAAAAAACGUCCCUGCA
RNAcentral lists this non-coding RNA (222 nucleotides) under Bacillus coahuilensis. RNAcentral describes it as "T-box sequence". It matches the Rfam family "T-box leader". From Rfam's summary of the family: Uncharged tRNA acts as the effector for transcription antitermination of genes in the T-box leader family. Lineage: Bacteria; Bacillati; Bacillota; Bacilli; Caryophanales; Bacillaceae. The record is from RNAcentral.